Molecule: ribosomal RNA, 497 nt
Filed under: uncultured bacterium
Lineage: Bacteria
Description: partial 16S ribosomal RNA
Rfam family: Bacterial small subunit ribosomal RNA
Source: RNAcentral
GAUGAACGCUGGCGGCGUGCCUAAUACAUGCAAGUCGAGCGAACAGACGAGGAGCUUGCUCCUCUGACGUUAGCGGCGGACGGGUGAGUAACACGUGGAUAACCUACCUAUAAGACUGGGAUAACUUCGGGAAACCGGAGCUAAUACCGGAUAAUAUGUUGAACCGCAUGGUUCAACAGUGAAAGACGGUCUUGCUGUCACUUAUAGAUGGAUCCGCGCCGCAUUAGCUAGUUGGUAAGGUAACGGCUUACCAAGGCAACGAUGCGUAGCCGACCUGAGAGGGUGAUCGGCCACACUGGAACUGAGACACGGUCCAGACUCCUACGGGAGGCAGCAGUAGGGAAUCUUUCGCAAUGGGCGAAAGCCUGACGGAGCAACGCCGCGUGAGUGAAGAAGGUCUUCGGAUCGUAAAACUCUGUUAUUAGGGAAGAACAGAUGUGUAAGUAACUAUGCACGUCUUGACGGUACCUAAUCAGAAAGCCACGGCUAACUACGUG